AUUGAACGCUGGCGGAAUGCUUUACACACGCAAGUCGAACGGCAGCACGGACUUCGGUCUGGUGGCGAGUGGCGAACGGGUGAGUAACAUAUCGGAACGUAUCCAAUAAUGGGGGAUAACUAAUCGAAAGGUUGGCUAAUACCGCAUACGCCCUACGGGGGAAAGCAGGGGAUCUUCGGACCUUGCGUUAAUGGAGCGGCUGAUAUCUGAUUAGCUAGUUGGUGAGGUAAAGGCUCACCAAGGCGACGAUCAGUAGCUGGUCUGAGAGGACGACCAGCCACACUGGAACUGAGACACGGUCCAGACUCCUACGGGAGGCAGCAGUGGGGAAUUUUGGACAAUGGGCGCAAGCCUGAUCCAGCCAUUCCGCGUGAGUGAAGAAGGCCUUCGGGUUGUAAAGCUCUUUCGCAAGGGAAGAAAACUUACUUUCUAAUAAAGAGUGAGGUUGACGGUACCUUGAUAAGAAGCACCGGCUAACUACGUGCCAGCAGCCGCCGUAA
RNAcentral lists this ribosomal RNA (500 nucleotides) under uncultured bacterium. RNAcentral describes it as "partial 16S ribosomal RNA". It matches the Rfam family "Bacterial small subunit ribosomal RNA", at positions 30 to 523 of the family's 1533-position model. The record is from RNAcentral.